This is an RNA transcript of Rhagoletis pomonella (apple maggot), 970 nucleotides long. RefSeq lists it as uncharacterized. Lineage: Eukaryota; Metazoa; Arthropoda; Insecta; Diptera; Tephritidae. The transcript has 4 exons. The record is from RefSeq and is a predicted model, not a curated record.
ACUUUUAAUUUUCUUUUAUAAAGUGAGAAUAUAAUUGUGCUAAAGAGACAUACAUUUUUGAAGAUGGAUCAAAGAACUUUUCGACUUGUGCAAAUUUUUAAAAUUAUGAACAUCAUGUUCAUAAUGGUAUAGCUGUAUAUUGAAGCACGCCAACGCUUAAAAAGGAGAUGGUGGAUCCGGCCAGUAAACCUUGCGAGGAAACGGCUUGGAUUUCAUGGAGUUAGCUUCGCUCUACUAAAGCUGAGAGAGGAAGAACAUUUCUUUAAGGCCACGAGAAUGACUGAGCCUAAGUUCAAUGUCCUUCUUAAUUUACUUAGAGAAAAGUUGCAAAGGUUUUCCAGAAGAGAGCCAAUAGACGAAGAGACCCGUUUGGGUAUGACGUUGAUAUACUUAUCACAAGGAUGUAGCCCACAAUUUUUGGCAUUCUCUUAUAAAAUGGGAGUCUCAACAGUAAGGAAAAUCAUUUACGAAACCUGUGAUGCGAUUUGGAGUGAGCUGCAUGCAAUUUAUGUUGCACAACCAAAUUUAACAGAGUGGAAAAACAUUGCCAACGGAUUUUACAUGAAAAGUAGAAUGCCCCAUUGACUCGGAGCAGUUGAUGGCAAGCAUGUGAACAUAAUUUGCCCGAAGCGCAGUGGCUCCUUAUACUAAAACUACAAAAAAACGUUCAGUAUACUAGUCCUAAUGGCAGCGUGCAUUGCUGAUUACUCCUUUACCUUCGUUGAUGUCGGUGCAUUGGGAAGUUAAAGUGACGGUGGAGUUUUCGCUCAUAGUGCUUUUGGGAAUAUGAUAUUGAGAAACAACAUCAUGCUACCUCCAGAUGAUAGCCUGCCUGGUUCAGAUAGAAACUUUCCAUAUUUUUUUGUGGGAGACAACGCGUUCCCUCUGAAACGCAAUCUAAUGCGCCCAUAUCCUGGACGCAAUUUGCCAACCACGAAACUAAAUUUUAAUAAGAAGUUAUCAUCCGCUC